CGGUUGAUCCUGCCGGAGGCUACUGCCAUCAGAGUUCGAUUAAGCCAUGUUAGUCGAGGGUGCUUCUUCCUUCUCGGAGGAAGAGUAACCCGGCGGACGGCUCAGUAACACGUGGACAACUUACCCUUGGGACCGGGAUAACCCCUGGGAAACUGGGGCUAAUAUCGGAUAGAGCAUCGAUUACUGGAAUGUGCGAUGCUCGAAAGCUGAGGCGCCCAAGGAUAGGUCUGCGGCCGAUUAGGUUGUUGUUGAUGUCACGGAUCAACAAGCCUUCGAUCGGUACGGGUUGUGAGAGCAAUAGCCCGGAGAUGGGUUCUGAGAGAAGAACCCAGGUCCUACGGGACGCAUCAGGCGCGAAAACUUUACAAUGUGCGAAAGCACGAUAAGGGAACUCUGAGUGCCUCCUAAGGAGGCUGUUCAGGUGUCUAAAAAGCACCUGAAGUAAGGGCUGGGUAAGACCGGUGCCAGCCGCCGCGGUAACACCGGCAGCCCAAGUGGUAGCCACGUUUAUUGGGUCUAAAGCGUCCGUAGCCGGCUGCGCAAGUUCCUUGGGAAAUUUGGCCGCUUAACGGUCAACCUUUCAGGGAAUACUGCGUGGCUUGGGACCGGGAGAGGUCAGAGGUACUCUAAGGGUGGGGGUGAAAU
RNAcentral lists this ribosomal RNA (645 nucleotides) under uncultured archaeon. RNAcentral's name for it is "bacterial SSU rRNA". It matches the Rfam family "Archaeal small subunit ribosomal RNA", at positions 5 to 638 of the family's 1478-position model. The record is from RNAcentral.